GAUUGUAAACAGACUGAUGUUAGUGCUGACUGACUCAGAAGUUACAUAUUCAAUAUAGCCUACAUGACUUUUACUGUUAUAGCGUUGUUUAGCGCGUUAUGAAUGUGCAAAAUGUCCACAUAAAUGUAAGUGUAACUAGAAACUUCCUGGCAGAUGUGUUGAAUCAAGUUGGAGCUAAACUGUGCUGGACACCGGCCCUCCAGGACACCCCUGGUGUAGGGGAUAUACAGUAAUAUGGAGUUUAUAAAGUACAAAAAUUAUAUUGAUGGACAGUCCCCACAAAACAUGGAAACAUUUAGUAAAAUCAGCUAUAUUUUUAGCCAUGUUAUCAUAUUUAAAGCUGAUUUAUAAUCUUAAACCAAGAUAUAAAAUCAAGUAUUAAUUCUAAUAAAUUUGUGCUUAAGAAAGCCUCAUGGAUAUU
This is a non-coding RNA of Danio rerio (zebrafish), 421 nucleotides long. The record is from RefSeq and is a predicted model, not a curated record. Lineage: Eukaryota; Metazoa; Chordata; Actinopteri; Cypriniformes; Danionidae.